Molecule: ribosomal RNA, 470 nt
Filed under: Brochothrix thermosphacta
Lineage: Bacteria; Bacillati; Bacillota; Bacilli; Caryophanales; Listeriaceae
Description: bacterial SSU rRNA
Rfam family: Bacterial small subunit ribosomal RNA
Source: RNAcentral
AUGAACGCUGGCGGCAGCCCUAACACAUGCAAGUCGACCGGAUGAAGGGACUUCCUCCCUGAUUCAGCGGCGGACGGUGAGUAAUGCCUAGAAUCUGCCUUGGUAGUGGGGGACAACGUUCCGAAAGGAGCGCUUAAUACCGCAUACGUCCUACGGGAGAAAGUGGGGGAUCUUCGGACCUCACGCUAUCAGAUGAGCCUAGGUCGGAUUAGCUAGUAGGUGGGGUAAUGGCUCACCUAGGCGACGAUCCGUAACUGGUCUGAGAGGAUGAUCAGUCACACUGGAACUGAGACACGGUCCAGACUCCUACGGGAGGCAGCAGUGGGGAAUAUUGGACAAUGGGCGAAAGCCUGAUCCAGCCAUGCCGCGUGUGUGAAGAAGGUCUUCGGAUUGUAAAGCACUUUAAGUUGGGAGGAAGGGCAUGUAAGUUAAUACCUUGCUGUUUUGACGUUACCAACAGAAUAAGCACC